AUGAACGCUAGCGGCAGGCCUAACACAUGCAAGGUCAGGGGCAGCACAGGUAGCAAGUACUGGGUGGCGACCGGCGGAUGGGUGCGUAACGCGUAUCGCAACCUACCAUUGAAUUGGGGCAUAGCCCGAAGAAAUUCGGAUUAAUACUCCAUAAUAUUCAUCAAAGGCAUCUUUUAUGAAUUAAAGCUUUUGCGAUCAAUGAUGGGCAUGCGUGACAUUAGUUAGUUGGUGAGGUAACGGCUCACCAAAACGAUGAUGUCUAGGGGUUCUGAGAGGAUUAUCCCCCACACUGGUACUGAGACACGGACCAGACUCCUACGGGAGGCAGCAGUGAGGAAUAUUGGUCAAUGGACGCAAGUCUGAACCAGCCAUGCCGCGUGCAGGAUGACGGCCCUAUGGGUUGUAAACUGCUUUUCCACGGGAAGAACCCUCCGACGUGUCGGAGACUGACGGUACCGUGGGAAUAAGCAUCGGCUAACUCCGUG
Molecule: ribosomal RNA, 485 nt
Filed under: uncultured bacterium
Lineage: Bacteria
Description: bacterial SSU rRNA
Rfam family: Bacterial small subunit ribosomal RNA
Source: RNAcentral